UCUCUGGUGGUCCAGUGGUUAGGACUCGGCACUUGCAGCACUAUCACUGCUGAGGCCCUAGGUUCGAUCCCUGGUCAGGGAG
Molecule: non-coding RNA, 82 nt
Organism: Kogia breviceps (pygmy sperm whale)
Lineage: Eukaryota; Metazoa; Chordata; Mammalia; Artiodactyla; Physeteridae
Source: the annotation of a RefSeq genome assembly